GAUGAACGCUGGCGGCGUGCCUAAUACAUGCAAGUCGAGCGAACGGACGAGAAGCUUGCUCCUCUGACGUUAGCGGCGGACGGGUGAGUAACACGUGGAUAACCUACCUAUAAGACUGGGAUAACUUCGGGAAACCGUAGCUAAUACCGGAUAAUAUUUUGAACCGCAUGGUUCAAAAGUGAAAGACGGUUUUGCUGUCACUUAUAGAUGGAUCCGCGCUGCAUUAGCUAGUUGGUAAGGUAACGGCUUACCAAGGCAACGAUGCGUAGCCGACCUGAGAGGGUGAUCGGCCACACUGGAACUGAGACACGGUCCAGACUCCUACGGGAGGCAGCAGUAGGGAAUCUUCCGCAAUGGGCGAAAGCCUGACGGAGCAACGCCGCGUGAGUGAUGAAGGUCUUCGGAUCGUAAAACUCUGUUAUUAGGGAAGAACAUAUGUGUAAGUAACUAUGCACAUCUUGACGGUACCUAAUCAGAAAGCCACGGCUAACUACGUG
RNAcentral lists this ribosomal RNA (497 nucleotides) under uncultured bacterium. Its description in RNAcentral is "partial 16S ribosomal RNA". It matches the Rfam family "Bacterial small subunit ribosomal RNA", at positions 28 to 507 of the family's 1533-position model. The record is from RNAcentral.